CUAUGGUUUAUUGGAUCGUACCCGUCAAAUGGAUAACUGUAAUAACUCUAGAGCUAAUACAUGCCACGAAGCCCUGACUUGUGCCGUCUUCUGUGCGGUGCCGGGAUGGGUGCUCUUAUUAGAUCAGAAACCAACCGAGUCGUGGCCAGCGGCUAAUUACUGCUGGUCGCGACUUGUUGUCGUUCUGGUGACUCUGGAUAAUUGUUACAGAUCGCAGUCGGCCUUGAGUCGGCGACGGGUCCUUCAAAUGUCUGCCCUAUCAACUUUCGAUGGUAGGCAAUCUGCCUACCAUGGUGAUAACGGGUAACGGGGAAUCAGGGUUCGAUUCCGGAGAGGGAGCCUGAGAAACGGCUACCACUUCCAAGGGAGGCAGCAGGCGCGCAAAUUACCCACUCCCGGUACGGGGAGGUGGUGACGAAAAAUACCGAUGCGGGACUCUUCAAGAGGCUCCGUAAUCGGAAUGAGUGAACUCUAAAUCCUUUCACGAGGAUCAAUUGGAGGGCAAGUCUGGUGCCAGCAGCCGCGGUAACUCCAGCUCCAAUAGCGUAUAUUAAAGUUGCUGCAGUUAAAAAGCUCGUAGUUGGAUCUCGGUUGCACUGUUGCCCGCCAUUGCUUGGCCGGAUGGGUGCCGGGUGAUGCAUUGGCCGAGUGCCGUGUUCGCCGCCGGUGUCCGCCUGUUGUCGAGUUGGUGUGGUGUCGGUGUCACCUUUUAGCCAUGUCUGUGGUGCAAUACCCACAGGUGUAGGCGAGUGUCGGGCGGUGCCUUGCACACGUAGGGUCCGUCGGCUCGUCUGCAUGCCUUUGGAUGCCCUUCAAAAGGUGUCUGUGGGCGGAUGGCACGUUUACUUUGAACAAAUUUGAGUGCUCAAACCAGGCCGCUGUAGCCUGAAAAGUUUUGCAUGGAAUAAUGGAAUAGGACUUCGGUUCUAUUUUGUUGGUUUUCGGAUCCGAAGUAAUGAUCAAAAGAGACAGGCGGGGACGUUUGUAUGGUUGCGCUAGAGGUGAAAUUCAUGGACCGUAACCAGACAGACUAAAGCGAAAGCAUUCGUCAAGCAUGUUUUCAUUGGCCAUGAGCGAAAGUCAGAGGCUCGAAGACGAUCAGAUACCGUCCUAGUUCUGACCAUAAACGAUGCCAACUGACGAUCCGUGGUGGUAGUUUAAUAACCGUCCCCACGGGCAGCCCCCGGGAAACCUUUAAGUCUAUGGGUUCCGGGGGAAGUAUGGUUGCAAAGCUGAAACUUAAAGGAAUUGACGGAAGGGCACCACCAGGAGUGGAGCCUGCGGCUUAAUUUGACUCAACACGGGAAAACUCACCCGGGCCGGACACUGUGAGGAUUGACAGAUUGAAAGCUCUUUCUUGAUUUGGUGGUUGGUGGUGCAUGGCCGUUCUUAGUUGGUGGAGCGAUUUGUCUGGUUAAUUCCGAUAACGAACGAGACUCUAGCCUGCUAAUUAGUGCGCCUGUCCUCUGUUCCUGUGCAGGCGGCUCUCAGCGCUACUGCCUUGCUAUGCUGGGCUACCUGUGUGCGGUGCGCUCACGGUCGGUUCUUGCUGCCUUGCUGCCAUCAGUGUGCGAGUCUGCGCCUAUGUCGGUGCCGCCCUCCGUCUCGGCUCCAGCACGUGUCAUCUUGUAUGGCGUGUGUUUGGUGGCCUGGGGUGUUGGUGGUGCAACUAGCGUGUGCUUGUGCGCCGUUUGUGCUCCGGGUGGCUGGCUGGCUAACAAGUGGGUGUGCAUGCGCUUGGCGGUCUAGUUGAGGCGGUGGAGUUCGGGCUUGCUUCCGGGUACGGCGCAGGUGUCUACUUCUUAGAGGGACAAGCAUACACAAAUGCACGAGAUUGAGCAAUAACAGGUCUGUGAUGCCCUUAGAUGUCCGGGGCCGCACGCGCGCUACAAUGACGGUGCCAACGAGUCUGACCUCCUGGCCCGAAAGGGUUGGGCAAACUGGUCAAUCACCGUCAUGUCAGGGAUCGGGGCUUGGAAUUGUUCCCCGUGAACCAGGAAUUCCUAGUAAGUGCAAGUCAUAAGCUUGCGCUGAUUACGUCCCUGCCCUUUGUACACACCGCCCGUCGCUACUACCGAUUGAAUGGUUUAGUAAGGUCCUUGGAUCGGUGCCAUUGCAGUGGCUGCCGCAAGGCAUGUCCACUCGACAGGCGCUGAGAAGACGACC
RNAcentral lists this ribosomal RNA (2166 nucleotides) under Lytocestus filiformis. RNAcentral's name for it is "SSU rRNA". It matches the Rfam family "Eukaryotic small subunit ribosomal RNA". Lineage: Eukaryota; Metazoa; Platyhelminthes; Cestoda; Caryophyllidea; Lytocestidae. The record is from RNAcentral.